AACGAACGCUGGCGGCAUGCCUAACACAUGCAAGUCGAACGAGACCUUCGGGUCUAGUGGCGCACGGGUGCGUAACGCGUGGGAACCUGCCCUUAGGUUCGGAAUAACUCCCCGAAAGGGGUGCUAAUACCGGAUAAUGUCUUCGGACCAAAGAUUUAUCGCCUUUGGAUGGGCCCGCGUUGGAUUAGCUAGUUGGUAGGGAAAAAGCCUACCAAGGCGACGAUCCAUAGCUGGUCUGAGAGGAUGAUCAGCCACACUGGGACUGAGAUACGGCCCAGACUCCUACGGGAGGCAGCAGUGGGGAAUAUUGGACAAUGGGCGAAAGCCUGAACCAGCAAUGCCGCGUGAGUGAUGAAGGCCUUAGGGUUGUAAAGCUCUUUUACCCGGGAUGAUAAUGACAGUACCGGGAGAAUAAGCUCCGGCUAACUCCGUG
RNAcentral lists this ribosomal RNA (433 nucleotides) under uncultured bacterium. RNAcentral describes it as "partial 16S ribosomal RNA". It matches the Rfam family "Bacterial small subunit ribosomal RNA", at positions 29 to 507 of the family's 1533-position model. The record is from RNAcentral.